GACGAACGCUGGCGGCGUGCUUAACACAUGCAAGUCGAGCGGUAAGGCCCUUUCGGGGGUACGACGAGCGGCGAACGGGUGAGUAACACGUGGGUGACCUGCCCUUAGCUCUGGGAUAAGCCUGGGAAACUGGGUCUAAUACCGGAUAUGACUCCAUAACGCAUGUUGUGGGGUGGAAAGCCUUGUGCGGCUAGGGAUGGGCCCGCGGCCUAUCAGCUUGUUGGUGGGGGUGAUGGCCACCAAGGCGACGACGGGUAGCCGGCCUGAGAGGGCGACCGGCCACACUGGGACUGAGACACGGCCCAGACUCCUACGGGA
RNAcentral lists this ribosomal RNA (318 nucleotides) under uncultured bacterium. RNAcentral describes it as "bacterial SSU rRNA". It matches the Rfam family "Bacterial small subunit ribosomal RNA", at positions 28 to 346 of the family's 1533-position model. The record is from RNAcentral.